RNAcentral lists this ribosomal RNA (254 nucleotides) under uncultured bacterium. RNAcentral's name for it is "partial 16S ribosomal RNA". It matches the Rfam family "Bacterial small subunit ribosomal RNA", at positions 524 to 776 of the family's 1533-position model. The record is from RNAcentral.
GACGAACCGUGCUAACGUUAUUCGGAAUCACUGGGCUUAAAGCGCGUGUAGGCGGGACGGCACGUCGGUCGCUGAAAUCCCCGGGCUCAACCCGGGAACUGCGUCCGAUACUGGCAGGCUUGAAUCCGGGAGAGGGAUGCUGAAUUCCAGGUGUAGCGGUGAAAUGCGUAGAUAUCUGGAGGAACACCGGUGGCGAAGGCGGCAUCCUGGACCGGCAUUGACGCUGAGGCGCGAAAGCCAGGGGAGCAAACGGG